RNAcentral lists this ribosomal RNA (253 nucleotides) under uncultured bacterium. Its description in RNAcentral is "partial 16S ribosomal RNA". It matches the Rfam family "Bacterial small subunit ribosomal RNA", at positions 524 to 776 of the family's 1533-position model. The record is from RNAcentral.
UACGGGGGGGGCAAGCGUUGUUCGGAAUUACUGGGCGUAAAGGGCGCGUAGGCGGCCUUCUAAGUCGAACGUGAAAUCCCUGGGCUCAACCCAGGAACUGCGUCCGAUACUGGAAGGCUUGAAUCCGGGAGAGGGAUGCGGAAUUCCAGGUGUAGCGGUGAAAUGCGUAGAUAUCUGGAGGAACACCGGUGGCGAAGGCGGCACCCUGGACCGGUAUUGACGCUGAGGCGCGAAAGCCAGGGGAGCAAACGGG